UGCAGGGAGAGAAAGUGACUGCUGUGCUGGGGAAAGGAGGAGGGAAGCUGUGGCCCUCAGCCAGCUGUCCUUUAAAAAUUAAUCACUAUAGGCACCAACUAAUUUUUCUCAUGGCUGAUCCUUCAAAAUGUACGUGGGGAAAACUGGAAAGUGCAACAGACUGUAGAAAUCUACUUCUCUGUGUCCUGCAGUGACCAUUGCAAGGGAAGACAAAGAUUCACCACUGCUUAUUCACUUGGCUUGAAUAACACACUGCUGCCCAGAAGCUGUUCUUUUUUCCCAAAGAGAAAGGAUAGAAGUGAGUGCUUUUGAAAGGGAUGGGACUUGACAGUGUGUUAAUAUGAUGACCCUCAAGUAGCAGGAUACAGUGACCAGGUAUGGUGCGUAUCAGCUCUGAUGCUCGCAGCUCCACGAGGCAGGCUCAGGCCCCCAGAAGCCACCCUUCUCUGCCCGGAGCUGGCAAUUAAAGCUCUGCUCCUCCAACC
This is a long non-coding RNA of Gallus gallus (chicken), 485 nucleotides long. The record is from Ensembl. NCBI's taxonomy places the organism in Eukaryota, Metazoa, Chordata, Aves, Galliformes, Phasianidae.